UGGGAUGUAGCUCAGUGGCAAAGCGCUUGCCUAGCAAGCGCGACGUCCUGGGUUCAAUCCCCAGUACCAA
This 70-nucleotide transfer RNA is filed under the name Dipodomys ordii (Ord's kangaroo rat). It matches the Rfam family "tRNA". From Rfam's summary of the family: Transfer RNA (tRNA) molecules are approximately 80 nucleotides in length. Their secondary structure includes four short double-helical elements and three loops (D, anti-codon, and T loops). Lineage: Eukaryota; Metazoa; Chordata; Mammalia; Rodentia; Heteromyidae. The record is from Rfam by way of RNAcentral.